RNAcentral lists this transfer RNA (74 nucleotides) under Paramuricea clavata. RNAcentral's name for it is "tRNA-Ser". The stretch from base 6 to 67 matches the Rfam family "tRNA", at positions 6 to 65 of the family's 71-position model. From Rfam's summary of the family: Transfer RNA (tRNA) molecules are approximately 80 nucleotides in length. Their secondary structure includes four short double-helical elements and three loops (D, anti-codon, and T loops). Lineage: Eukaryota; Metazoa; Cnidaria; Anthozoa; Malacalcyonacea; Plexauridae. The record is from RNAcentral.
UCUCUUGUAGCUCAGUUGGUUAGAGCGCUGCACCGGAAUCGCAGGGCCGUAGGUUCAAUUCCUACCAGCUAGAG